GAGUAAUAUAUCGGAACGUACCCAAGAGUGGGGGAUAACGUAGCGAAAGUUACGCUAAUACCGCAUACGAUCUAUGGAUGAAAGUGGGGGAUCGCAAGACCUCAUGCUCCUGGAGCGGCCGAUAUCUGAUUAGCUAGUUGGUGAGGUAAAGGCUCACCAAGGCGACGAUCAGUAGCUGGUCUGAGAGGACGACCAGCCACACUGGAACUGAGACACGGUCCAGACUCCUACGGGAGGCAGCAGUGGGGAAUUUUGGACAAUGGGCGCAAGCCUGAUCCAGCAAUGCCGCGUGAGUGAAGAAGGCCUUCGGGUUGUAAAGCUCUUUUGUCAGGGAAGAAACGGCUCGAGCUAAUAUCUUGGGCUAAUGACGGUACCUGAAGAAUAAGCACCGGCUAACUACGUGCCAGCAGCCGCGGUAAUACGUAGGGUGCAAGCGUUAAUCGGAAUUACUGGGCGUAAAGCGUGCGCAGGCGGUUUUGUAAGUCUGUCGUGAAAGCCCCGGGCUCAACCUGGGAAUUGCGAUGGAG
RNAcentral lists this ribosomal RNA (527 nucleotides) under Massilia brevitalea. RNAcentral describes it as "bacterial SSU rRNA". It matches the Rfam family "Bacterial small subunit ribosomal RNA", at positions 108 to 631 of the family's 1533-position model. Lineage: Bacteria; Pseudomonadati; Pseudomonadota; Betaproteobacteria; Burkholderiales; Oxalobacteraceae. The record is from RNAcentral.